CUUGGCGGCCAUAGCGCGGUGGUCCCACCUGAUCCCAUGCCGAACUCAGAAGUGAAACGCCGUAGCGCCG
RNAcentral lists this ribosomal RNA (70 nucleotides) under Proteus mirabilis. The record is from RNAcentral. Lineage: Bacteria; Pseudomonadati; Pseudomonadota; Gammaproteobacteria; Enterobacterales; Morganellaceae.